Molecule: ribosomal RNA, 856 nt
Filed under: uncultured bacterium
Lineage: Bacteria
Description: bacterial SSU rRNA
Rfam family: Bacterial small subunit ribosomal RNA
Source: RNAcentral
ACACAUGCAAGUCGAACGGAGUGUUGCGCUGAAAUUGAGAUUAGCUUGCUAAAGGAUAUUUCUUGUGACACUUAGUGGCGGACGGGUGAGUAACGCGUGAGGAACCUGCCUUACAGAGGGGGACAACAGUUGGAAACGACUGCUAAUACCGCAUGAUGUGGAGGGGAGACAUCUCCCUUUCACCAAAGGAGCAAUCCGCUGUAAGAUGGCCUCGCGUCUGAUUAGAUAGUUGGUGGGGUAACGGCCUACCAAGUCGACGAUCAGUAGCCGGACUGAGAGGUUGAACGGCCACAUUGGGACUGAGACACGGCCCAGACUCCUACGGGAGGCAGCAGUGGGGGAUAUUGCACAAUGGAGGAAACUCUGAUGCAGCAACGCCGCGUGAGGGAAGAAGGUUUUCGGAUUGUAAACCUCUGUUUUUAGUGAAGAAACAAAUGACGGUAGCUAAAGAGGAAGCCACGGCUAACUACGUGCCAGCAGCCGCGGUAAUACGUAGGUGGCAAGCGUUGUCCGGAAUUACUGGGUGUAAAGGGUGCGCAGGCGGGAUUGCAAGUUGGAUGUGAAAUACCGGGGCUUAACCCCGGAGCUGCAUCCAAAACUGUAGUUCUUGAGUGGAGUAGAGGUAAGCGGAAUUCCGAGUGUAGCGGUGAAAUGCGUAGAUAUUCGGAGGAACACCAGUGGCGAAGGCGGCUUACUGGGCUCUAACUGACGCUGAGGCACGAAAGCAUGGGUAGCAAACAGGAUUAGAUACCCUGGUAGUCCAUGCUGUAAACGAUGAAUGCUAGGUGUGGGGGGACUGACCCCUUCCGUGCCGGAGUAAACACAAUAAGCAUUCCACCUGGGGAGUACGACCGCA